RNAcentral lists this ribosomal RNA (795 nucleotides) under Streptomyces sp. RNAcentral describes it as "bacterial SSU rRNA". It matches the Rfam family "Bacterial small subunit ribosomal RNA", at positions 56 to 865 of the family's 1533-position model. Lineage: Bacteria; Bacillati; Actinomycetota; Actinomycetes; Kitasatosporales; Streptomycetaceae. The record is from RNAcentral.
UGCAGUCGAACGAUGAAACCGCUUCGGUGGUGGAUUAGUGGCGAACGGGUGAGUAACACGUGGGCAAUCUGCCCUUCACUCUGGGACAAGCCCUGGAAACGGGGUCUAAUACCGGAUAACACUCCUGCCUGCAUGGGUGGGGGUUGAAAGCUCCGGCGGUGAAGGAUGAGCCCGCGGCCUAUCAGCUUGUUGGUGGGGUAAUGGCCUACCAAGGCGACGACGGGUAGCCGGCCUGAGAGGGCGACCGGCCACACUGGGACUGAGACACGGCCCAGACUCCUACGGGAGGCAGCAGUGGGGAAUAUUGCACAAUGGGCGAAAGCCUGAUGCAGCGACGCCGCGUGAGGGAUGACGGCCUUCGGGUUGUAAACCUCUUUCAGCAGGGAAGAAGCGCAAGUGACGGUACCUGCAGAAGAAGCGCCGGCUAACUACGUGCCAGCAGCCGCGGUAAUACGUAGGGCGCAAGCGUUGUCCGGAAUUAUUGGGCGUAAAGAGCUCGUAGGCGGCUUGUCACGUCGGAUGUGAAAGCCCGGGGCUUAACCCCGGGUCUGCAUUCGAUACGGGCUAGCUAGAGUGUGGUAGGGGAGAUCGGAAUUCCUGGUGUAGCGGUGAAAUGCGCAGAUAUCAGGAGGAACACCGGUGGCGAAGGCGGAUCUCUGGGCCAUUACUGACGCUGAGGAGCGAAAGCGUGGGGAGCGAACAGGAUUAGAUACCCUGGUAGUCCACGCCGUAAACGUUGGGAACUAGGUGUUGGCGACAUUCCACGUCGUCGGUGCCGCAGCUAACGCAUUAAGU